Molecule: transfer RNA, 76 nt
Filed under: Leucothrix mucor
Lineage: Bacteria; Pseudomonadati; Pseudomonadota; Gammaproteobacteria; Thiotrichales; Thiotrichaceae
Also listed under: 1 other name
Description: tRNA-Gly
Rfam family: tRNA
About the family: Transfer RNA (tRNA) molecules are approximately 80 nucleotides in length. Their secondary structure includes four short double-helical elements and three loops (D, anti-codon, and T loops).
Source: RNAcentral
GCGGGAAUAGCUCAGCUGGUAGAGCACGACCUUGCCAAGGUCGGGGUCGGGAGUUCGAAUCUCCUUUCCCGCUCCA